Molecule: ribosomal RNA, 468 nt
Filed under: uncultured bacterium
Lineage: Bacteria
Description: partial 16S ribosomal RNA
Rfam family: Bacterial small subunit ribosomal RNA
Source: RNAcentral
GACGAACGCUGGCGGCGUGCUUAACACAUGCAAGUCGAACGGAAAGGCCCUGCUUUUGUGGGGUGCUCGAGUGGCGAACGGGUGAGUAACACGUGAGUAACCUGCCCUUGACUUUGGGAUAACUUCAGGAAACUGGGGCUAAUACCGGAUAGGAGCUCCUGCUGCAUGGUGGGGGUUGGAAAGUUUCGGCGGUUGGGGAUGGACUCGCGGCUUAUCAGCUUGUUGGUGGGGUAGUGGCUUACCAAGGCUUUGACGGGUAGCCGGCCUGAGAGGGUGACCGGCCACAUUGGGACUGAGAUACGGCCCAGACUCCUACGGGAGGCAGCAGUGGGGAAUAUUGCACAAUGGGCGGAAGCCUGAUGCAGCAACGCCGCGUGCGGGAUGAGGGCCUUCGGGUUGUGAACCGCUUUCGCCUGUGACGAAGCGUGAGUGACGGUAAUGGGUAAAGAAGCACCGGCUAACUACGUG